RNAcentral lists this unclassified non-coding RNA (293 nucleotides) under Hevea brasiliensis (rubber tree). The record is from RNAcentral. Lineage: Eukaryota; Viridiplantae; Streptophyta; Magnoliopsida; Malpighiales; Euphorbiaceae.
GCAAAAUGCUAUCUGCCUCUUCUCCUCUUACUCUUCCGCCCCUUCCGGCACGAUCCUCUCCCCGGGAAUUUACACGUGUCAGAUUCCGGCCACUGCAGGCCUUCUCCUCCACCGCCACUGCUUCUUCCACUGCUUACGCCUCCAGAGAGGACACCGCCUCGCCGUAUCUCAACCUUCAAAGAAUGUCUUCUUGCACUUCGCUUUACGAGGUCCUUGGAAUCCCUACUGGAGCUUCUUUUCAGGAGAUCAAAUCCGCCUACCGACGUCUUGCCAGAGUUUGCCACCCGGACGUG